GGGGUGGGUUGUGUGGGUGAGUAAAAAAAGAAGAUAUCUCGUUCAGAAUGGCCUUUCCCUUGGUUGAACUCAACACAGAUUUUCCUCAUGAGAAUUUUCUAAGGACGUGUUUUCCUCAAGAAACAAGCUAUUAGGGUCAGAAUUACACAAGAAGAUGAAAGUAGAACCUGUUCAACCCACUUAUAUCAUGAGCGACAUUUUAACUUUGCAGCCUCCAGCUUCUUUUUUAAUGCCUCCAUCCGUUCAAUCAAGGCCAUGUUUUCCUUUUGCAGCAUUUCCAGUUGCUGGUUAAUGCUAGCAGCAUCCUCCACCUUCUG
This 317-nucleotide unclassified non-coding RNA is filed under the name Hevea brasiliensis (rubber tree). Lineage: Eukaryota; Viridiplantae; Streptophyta; Magnoliopsida; Malpighiales; Euphorbiaceae. The record is from RNAcentral.